This 40-nucleotide non-coding RNA is filed under the name Calcidiscus leptoporus. Lineage: Eukaryota; Haptophyta; Coccolithales; Calcidiscaceae. The record is from RNAcentral.
GCAAACUAAGGACGCGGUGACCGCGUACGUCUCGGCGUCG